UCGCCUGUUUAUCAAAAACAUUGCUCUCUGAACCUUGAUAAAGAGUACCUCUGCCCAGUGAUUAGAUUCAACGGCCGCAGUAAACUUGACUGUGCUAAGGUAGCACAAUAAUGUGCCCCUUAAUUGGGGGAUAGAAUGAAUGAACAAACACAGAAUAAACUGUCUCCACUAUACCAAUAUAAAUUUAUCUCCAAGUGAAAAAGCUUGAAUUUUCCUAAAAGACAAGAAGUCCCUCGAACCUUCCUCUAUACACGUACACUAAACAUAUUAUAGAUUUAGUUGGGGCGACAAAGAAUACAAUCAUACUUACUCUAUAGGAGCAUCCUCCACUUACUACACCCCCUCCAAUUCAAACAAGUUACUCCAGGGAUAACAGGCUAAUAUUUCCUGAGAGUACACAUUAACGGAAAUGUUUGGCACCUCGAUGUUGGCUUUGGGUUCCCAUCUUACGAAGAAAUAAGAUCAGGAGGUUCGUUCAACCUCUAACCCCCUACAUGAUCUGAGUUCAAACCGGAGA
This 517-nucleotide ribosomal RNA is filed under the name Perkinsyllis koolalya. Its description in RNAcentral is "partial 16S ribosomal RNA". It matches the Rfam family "Bacterial large subunit ribosomal RNA", at positions 1796 to 2622 of the family's 2925-position model. Lineage: Eukaryota; Metazoa; Annelida; Polychaeta; Phyllodocida; Syllidae. The record is from RNAcentral.